RNAcentral lists this ribosomal RNA (468 nucleotides) under uncultured bacterium. RNAcentral's name for it is "partial 16S ribosomal RNA". It matches the Rfam family "Bacterial small subunit ribosomal RNA", at positions 28 to 507 of the family's 1533-position model. The record is from RNAcentral.
GACGAACGCUGGCGGCGUGCUUAACACAUGCAAGUCGAACGGAAAGGCCCUGCUUUUGUGGGGUGCUCGAGUGGCGAACGGGUGAGUAACAUGUGAGUAACCUGCCCUUGACUUUGGGAUAACUUCAGGAAACUGGGGCUAAUACCGGAUAGGAGCUCCUGCUGCAUGGUGGGGGUUGGAAAGUUUCGGCGGUUGGGGAUGGACUCGCGGCUUAUCAGCUUGUUGGUGGGGUAGUGGCUUACCAAGGCUUUGACGGGUAGCCGGCCUGAGAGGGUGACCGGCCACAUUGGGACUGAGAUACGGCCCAGACUCCUACGGGAGGCAGCAGUGGGGAAUAUUGCACAAUGGGCGGAAGCCUGAUGCAGCAACGCCGCGUGCGGGAUGACGGCCUUCGGGUUGUAAACCGCUUUCGCCUGUGACGAAGCGUGAGUGACGGUAAUGGGUAAAAAAGCACCGGCUAACUACGUG